This 253-nucleotide ribosomal RNA is filed under the name uncultured bacterium. RNAcentral describes it as "partial 16S ribosomal RNA". It matches the Rfam family "Bacterial small subunit ribosomal RNA", at positions 524 to 776 of the family's 1533-position model. The record is from RNAcentral.
UACGAAGGGUGCAAGCGUUACUCGGAAUUACUGGGCGUAAAGCGUGCGUAGGUGGUUCGUUAAGUCUGAUGUGAAAGCCCUGGGCUCAACCUGGGAAUGGCAUUGGAUACUGGCGACCUAGAGUGCGGUAGAGGGGUGUGGAAUUCCCGGUGUAGCAGUGAAAUGCGUAGAUAUCGGGAGGAACAUCUGUGGCGAAGGCGACACCCUGGACCAGCACUGACACUGAGGCGCGAAAGCUAGGGGAGCAAACAGG